UACGUAGGGUGCGAGCGUUGUCCGGAAUUAUUGGGCGUAAAGGGCUCGUAGGCGGUCUGUUGCGUCAGGAGUGAAAACUCGGGGCUUAACUCCGAAACUGCAUUCGAUACUGCCGUGCUUGAGGACUGGAGAGGAGACUGGAAUUUACGGUGUAGCGGUGAAAUGCGUAGAUAUCGUAAGGAAGACCAGUGGCGAAAGCGAAUCUCUGGGCAGCAGCAGACGCUGAGGCACGAAGGCCAGGGGAGCAAACGGG
This 253-nucleotide ribosomal RNA is filed under the name uncultured bacterium. RNAcentral's name for it is "partial 16S ribosomal RNA". It matches the Rfam family "Bacterial small subunit ribosomal RNA", at positions 524 to 776 of the family's 1533-position model. The record is from RNAcentral.